UGGGGAAUAUUGGACAAUGGGGGCAACCCUGAUCCAGCAAUACCGCGUGUGUGAAGAAGGCCUGAGGGUUGUAAAGCACUUUUAGUGGGGAGGAGGAUACGAAGGUUAAGAGCUAUCGUAUUGGACGUUACCCACAGAAAAAGCACCGGCUAACUCCGUGCCAGCAGCCGCGGUAAUACGGGGGGUGCAAGCGUUAAUCGGAAUAACUGGGCGUAAAGGGUGCGUAGGUGGUUUAAUAAGUUAUGUGUAAAAUUCCUGGGCUCAACCUAGGGAGGUCAGAUAAGACUGUUAGACUAGAGUAUAGGAGAGGGUAGUGGAAUUUCCGGUGUAGCGGUGAAAUGCGUAGAGAUCGGAAGGAACACCAGUGGCGAAGGCGACUACCUGGCCAGAUACUGACACUGAGGCACGAAAGCGUGGGGAGCAAACAGGAUUAGAUACCCCCGUAGUCCCUGAGCGGGCUGGCAAGGCGCAU
Molecule: ribosomal RNA, 472 nt
Filed under: uncultured bacterium
Lineage: Bacteria
Description: bacterial SSU rRNA
Rfam family: Bacterial small subunit ribosomal RNA
Source: RNAcentral